AUUGAACGCUGGCGGCAUGCCUUACACAUGCAAGUCGAACGGCAGCGCGGGAGCAAUCCUGGCGGCGAGUGGCGAACGGGUGAGUAAUACAUCGGAACGUGCCCAAUCGUGGGGGAUAACGCAGCGAAAGCUGUGCUAAUACCGCAUACGAUCUACGGAUGAAAGCAGGGGAUCUCAAGACCUUGCGCGAAUGGAGCGGCCGAUGGCAGAUUAGGUAGUUGGUGGGGUAAAGGCUCACCAAGCCGUCGAUCUGUAGCUGGUCUGAGAGGACGACCAGCCACACUGGAACUGAGACACGGCCCAGACUCCUACGGGAGGCAGCAGUGGGGAAUUUUGGACAAUGGGCGAAAGCCUGAUCCAGCCAUGCCGCGUGCAGGAUGAAGGCCUUCGGGUUGUAAACUGCUUUUGUAGGGAACGAAACGCUGUUUUCUAAUAAAGAGGGCUAAUGACGGUACCGUAAGAAUAAGCACCGGCUAACUACGUG
Molecule: ribosomal RNA, 484 nt
Filed under: uncultured bacterium
Lineage: Bacteria
Description: partial 16S ribosomal RNA
Rfam family: Bacterial small subunit ribosomal RNA
Source: RNAcentral